GGGGAAUAUUGGACAAUGGGCGAAAGCCUGAUCCAGCCAUGCCGCGUGAGUGAUGAAGGCCUUAGGGUUGUAAAGCUCUUUUAGCAGGGAAGAUAAUGACGGUACCUGCAGAAGAAGCCCCGGCUAACUUCGUGCCAGCAGCCGCGGUAAUACGAAGGGGGCUAGCGUUGCUCGGAAUUACUGGGCGUAAAGCGCACGUAGGCGGACUCUUAAGUCGGUGGUGAAAUCCUGGAGCUCAACUCCAGAACUGCCUUCGAAACUGGGAGUCUUGAGUUCGGGAGAGGUGAGUGGAACUGCGAGUGUAGAGGUGAAAUUCGUAGAUAUUCGCAAGAACACCAGUGGCGAAGGCGGCUCACUGGCCCGAUACUGACGCUGAGGUGCGAAAGCGUGGGGAGCAAAC
This 400-nucleotide ribosomal RNA is filed under the name uncultured bacterium. RNAcentral's name for it is "bacterial SSU rRNA". It matches the Rfam family "Bacterial small subunit ribosomal RNA", at positions 356 to 773 of the family's 1533-position model. The record is from RNAcentral.